This 854-nucleotide ribosomal RNA is filed under the name uncultured Actinomycetes bacterium. RNAcentral describes it as "bacterial SSU rRNA". It matches the Rfam family "Bacterial small subunit ribosomal RNA", at positions 32 to 896 of the family's 1533-position model. Lineage: Bacteria; Bacillati; Actinomycetota; Actinomycetes. The record is from RNAcentral.
AACGCUGGCGGCGUGCUUAACACAUGCAAGUCGAACGGAAAGGCCUGCAGCUUGCUGCGGGUACUCGAGUGGCGAACGGGUGAGUAACACGUGGGUGAUCUGCCUUGCACUUCGGGAUAAGCUUGGGAAACUGGGUCUAAUACCGGAUAGGACAGCUGUUUAGUGUCAGUUGUGGAAAGUUUUUUCGGUGCAAGAUGAGCUCGCGGCCUAUCAGCUUGUUGGUGGGGUAAUGGCCUACCAAGGCGUCGACGGGUAGCCGGCCUGAGAGGGUGUACGGCCACAUUGGGACUGAGAUACGGCCCAGACUCCUACGGGAGGCAGCAGUGGGGAAUAUUGCACAAUGGGCGGAAGCCUGAUGCAGCGACGCCGCGUGGGGGAUGAAGGCCUUCGGGUUGUAAACUCCUUUCGACAGGGACGAAGCGUAAGUGACGGUACCUGUAUAAGAAGCACCGGCUAACUACGUGCCAGCAGCCGCGGUAAUACGUAGGGUGCGAGCGUUGUCCGGAAUUACUGGGCGUAAAGAGCUCGUAGGUGGUUUGUCGCGUCGUCUGUGAAAUUCCGGGGCUUAACUCCGGGCGUGCAGGCGAUACGGGCUGACUUGAGUGCUGUAGGGGAGACUGGAAUUCCUGGUGUAGCGGUGAAAUGCGCAGAUAUCAGGAGGAACACCGAUGGCGAAGGCAGGUCUCUGGGCAGUAACUGACGCUGAGGAGCGAAAGCAUGGGUAGCGAACAGGAUUAGAUACCCUGGUAGUCCAUGCCGUAAACGGUGGGCGCUAGGUGUAGGGGGCUUCCACGUCUUCUGUGCCGUAGCUAACGCAUUAAGCGCCCCGCCUGGGGAGUACGGCCGCAAGGCUA